AGUGAACGCUGGCGGUAGGCCUAACACAUGCAAGUCGAACGGCAGCACAGUAAGAGCUUGCUCUUACGGGUGGCGAGUGGCGGACGGGUGAGGAAUACAUCGGAAUCUACUUUUUCGUGGGGGAUAACGUAGGGAAACUUACGCUAAUACCGCAUACGACCUACGGGUGAAAGCAGGGGAUCUUCGGACCUUGCGCGAGUGAAUGAGCCGAUGUCGGAUUAGCUAGUUGGCGGGGUAAAGGCCCACCAAGGCGACGAUCCGUAGCUGGUCUGAGAGGAUGAACCGCCACACUGGAACUGAGACACGGUCCAGACUCUGAGGGGAGGCAGCAGUGGGGAAUAUUGGACAAAGGGCGGAAGCCUGCUCCAGCCAUACCGCGUGGAUGAAGAAGGCCUUCGGGUUGUAAAGCCCUUUUGUUGGGAAAGAAAAGCAGCAGGUUAAUACCCCGCUGUUCUGACGGUACCCAAAGAAUAAGCACCGGCUAACUUCGUG
This 492-nucleotide ribosomal RNA is filed under the name uncultured bacterium. RNAcentral's name for it is "partial 16S ribosomal RNA". It matches the Rfam family "Bacterial small subunit ribosomal RNA", at positions 29 to 507 of the family's 1533-position model. The record is from RNAcentral.